GAAACAGGAUUUUCUCCGCAAGGAGACAGCGAGACAGGUGCUGCAUGGCUGUCGUCAGCUCGAGUCGUGAGAUGUUGGGUUAAGUCCCGCAACGAGCGCAACCCUCAUCCUUAGUUGCCAGCAUUGAGUUGGGCACUCUAAGGAAACUGCCCCGGUUAACGGGGAGGAAGGUGGGGAUGACGUCAAGUCCUCAUGGCCUUUAUGUCCAGGGCUACACAGGUGCUACAAUGGGCGGUAUAGAGGGUUGCCAUACUGUGAGGGAAAGCUAAUCCCAAAAAACCGUUCUCAUUUCUGAUUGGAAUCUGCAACUUGACUCUAUGAAUGCUGAAUCGCUAGUAAUCGCGGAUCAUCAUGCCGCGGUGAAUAAUGCCCCGGCCCUUGUACCACCGUCCGCCAACCAUGAAAGCUGA
RNAcentral lists this ribosomal RNA (410 nucleotides) under uncultured bacterium. Its description in RNAcentral is "bacterial SSU rRNA". It matches the Rfam family "Bacterial small subunit ribosomal RNA", at positions 1003 to 1414 of the family's 1533-position model. The record is from RNAcentral.